RNAcentral lists this transfer RNA (76 nucleotides) under Fidelibacterota bacterium. RNAcentral describes it as "Candidatus Marinimicrobia bacterium tRNA-Lys". It matches the Rfam family "tRNA". Rfam says of the family: Transfer RNA (tRNA) molecules are approximately 80 nucleotides in length. The record is from RNAcentral. Lineage: Bacteria; Pseudomonadati; Fidelibacterota.
GGCCCCGUAGCUCAAUUGGUAGAGCAGUUGACUCUUAAUCAAUUGGUUGAAGGUUCGAGUCCUUCCGGGGUCACAA